Carassius carassius (crucian carp) is the source of this 387-nucleotide long non-coding RNA. RefSeq lists it as uncharacterized. Lineage: Eukaryota; Metazoa; Chordata; Actinopteri; Cypriniformes; Cyprinidae. The record is from RefSeq and is a predicted model, not a curated record. The transcript is spliced from 2 exons.
GGUUCUCUGAUUAACCAUCUUCACCAAGCACAACAAAUACAAGAACUAAGGUCAUAUCACAUACACUGUUCCCACAAACUCAUCAUGGAGAAUGAAAAGAUCAUAAAUCAGUAAGAGGGAUGGUGGCGGUUCCACCGUGCGGCUCCACUCCUGCCCUGCAGCCAUGAUGGGGAGCUGCUCUCUAGUGACAUGCAGUAUUCCCAUGUGUGCGUGGAUAUGGAUCCCAGAGUAAAGGCUGCCACAGGAAACAAAAGAUGGCUUGUAUUAUUGUGACCGAGGGCCCAAAGGCUAAUUAGGCAGAAAAAAAGGCAGCGAAAGCCUGCAAAUCAAUCAUGCUGAUGCUGCCUCUAAAUAAUGAAUGACAAAAUAAUGAAUUUUUCAAACAUU